Molecule: long non-coding RNA, 230 nt
Organism: Temnothorax curvispinosus
Lineage: Eukaryota; Metazoa; Arthropoda; Insecta; Hymenoptera; Formicidae
Exons: 3
Source: RefSeq, a predicted model, not a curated record
CUCCGUGGGACCACGCAAUCACGUGUACGACACCGCACAGAAACAAUCGUUUUAAUUUCAGUAUUGCUUUCCAUCAGUGGAUGUUCAUGCAGUCCAGAGCAGCACCAAGUAGUUUGAUAGAAGAGCAAAAGAUUUAUUUAUUAGAUAUUGUUACGUUGCUUUCCAUCAGUGGAAGUUCACGCAGAGCAGCACCAAGCAGUUUGAUUUCUAUCAAACUCUUCUGAGCGACA